GAAGACGUUGAUAGGCUGGGUGUGUAAGCGUAGCGAUACGUUGAGCUAACCAGUACUAAUGAACCGUGAGGCUUAACCUG
Molecule: ribosomal RNA, 80 nt
Filed under: Providencia stuartii
Lineage: Bacteria; Pseudomonadati; Pseudomonadota; Gammaproteobacteria; Enterobacterales; Morganellaceae
Description: partial 23S ribosomal RNA
Rfam family: Bacterial large subunit ribosomal RNA
Source: RNAcentral